Molecule: ribosomal RNA, 376 nt
Filed under: uncultured organism
Description: partial 16S ribosomal RNA
Rfam family: Archaeal small subunit ribosomal RNA
Source: RNAcentral
CAGCUCUUCAAGUGGUCGGGAUAAUUAUUGGGCUUAAAGUGUCCGUAGCCGGUUUAGUAAGUUCCUGGGUAAAAUCGGGGUAGCUUAACUAUCUGUAUGCUAGGAAUACUGCUAUACUAGAGGACGGGAGAGGUCUGAGGUACUACAGGGGUAGGGGUGAAAUCUUAUAAUCCUUGUAGGACCACCAGUGGCGAAGGCGUCAGACUGGAACGUGCCUGACGGUGAGGGACGAAAGCCAGGGGAGCGAACCGGAUUAGAUACCCGGGUAGUCCUGGCCGUAAACGAUGCAUACUAGGUGAUGGUAUGGCCAUGAGCCAUAUCAGUGCCGUAGGGAAACCGUUAAGUGUGCCGCCUGGGAAGUACGGUCGCAAGGCUA